GAUCAUGGCUCAGGACGAACGCUGGCGGCGUGCUUAACACAUGCAAGUCGAACGAGGGAAUUCUUUUCGGAGAAUAUACCGAGUGGCAAACGGGUGAGUAACGCGUAGGCAACCUGCCUUCAAGAUGGGGACAACAGUCCGAAAAGGGCUGCUAAUACCGAAUGACAUGUCUGAACCGCAUGGGACGGACAGCAAAGACGGCCUCCAAACUAUGCUGUUGCUUGAAGAUGGGCCUGCGUCUGAUUAGCUAGUUGGUGAGAUAACAGCCCACCAAGGCGACGAUCAGUAGCCGGUCUGAGAGGAUGAACGGCCACAUUGGGACUGAGACACGGCCCAGACUCCUACGGGAGGCAGCAGUGGGGAAUAUUGCACAAUGGGGGGAACCCUGAUGCAGCAACGCCGCGUGAGGGAAGAAGGUUUUCGGAUUGUAAACCUCUGUCCUUGGUGAAGAUAAUGACGGUAGCCGAGGAGGAAGCUCCGGCUAACUACGUG
This 492-nucleotide ribosomal RNA is filed under the name uncultured bacterium. RNAcentral's name for it is "bacterial SSU rRNA". It matches the Rfam family "Bacterial small subunit ribosomal RNA", at positions 15 to 507 of the family's 1533-position model. The record is from RNAcentral.